RNAcentral lists this ribosomal RNA (579 nucleotides) under Liangdongia dryadoides. Its description in RNAcentral is "eukaryotic LSU rRNA". It matches the Rfam family "Eukaryotic large subunit ribosomal RNA", at positions 62 to 648 of the family's 3401-position model. The record is from RNAcentral. Lineage: Eukaryota; Fungi; Ascomycota; Saccharomycetes; Phaffomycetales; Wickerhamomycetaceae.
AAACCAACAGGGAUUGCCUCAGUAACGGCGAGUGAAGCGGCAAAAGCUCAAAUUUGAAAUCUGGUAGUUUUUAACUGCUCGAGUUGUAAUUUGAAGAGCUUAACCUUGGGCACAGGCUCUGUCUAUGUUUCUUGGAACAGGACGUCACAGAGGGUGAGAAUCCCGUGAGGUGGGGCUAUUGUGUUCUUGUAGGUUUUGUUCGACGAGUCGAGUUGUUUGGGAAUGCAGCUCUAAGUGGGUGGUAAAUUCCAUCUAAAGCUAAAUAUUGGCGAGAGACCGAUAGCGAACAAGUACAGUGAUGGAAAGAUGAAAAGAACUUUGAAAAGAGAGUGAAAAAGUACGUGAAAUUGUUGAAAGGGAAGGGCAUUAGAUGAGACUUGGUAAUUCAGGCACAUCCUCCUCUUGUAGGGGGUGCACUCCUGAUAUUACUGGGCCAGCAUCGAUUCGCGCGGUGGGAUAAUGCUUCUUGAAUGUGGCUACAUUUUUUGUGUAGUGUUAUAGCUUGGAGAGAUACUGCCAGUGUGGAUCGAGGCUUGCGUCUUUUUAGACUAGGAUGCUGGCGUAAUGAUCUAAUGUCGC